This 494-nucleotide ribosomal RNA is filed under the name uncultured bacterium. RNAcentral's name for it is "partial 16S ribosomal RNA". It matches the Rfam family "Bacterial small subunit ribosomal RNA", at positions 31 to 507 of the family's 1533-position model. The record is from RNAcentral.
GAACGCUGGCGGCGUGCCUAAUACCUGCAAGUCGAGCGAACGGACGAGAAGCUUGCUCCUCUGAUGUUAGCGGCGGACGGGUGAGUAACACGUGGAUAACCUACCUAUAAGACUGGGAUAACUUCGGGAAACCGGAGCUAAUACCGGAUAAUAUUUUGAACCGCAUGGUUCAAAAGUGAAAGACGGUCUUGCUGUCACUUAUAGAUGGAUCCGCGCUGCAUUAGCUAGUUGGUAAGGUAACGGCUUACCAAGGCAACGAUGCAUAGCCGACCUGAGAGGGUGAUCGGCCACACUGGAACUGAGACACGGUCCAGACUCCUACGGGAGGCAGCAGUAGGGAAUCUUCCGCAAUGGGCGAAAGCCUGACGGAGCAACGCCGCGUGAGUGAUGAAGGUCUUCGGAUCGUAAAACUCUGUUAUUAGGGAAGAACAUAUGUGUAAGUAACUGUGCACAUCUUGACGGUACCUAAUCAGAAAGCCACGGCUAACUACGUG